GGGGUGGCUUCCAUCUGGAAGAAUCUGGAGGACAGGUGCUGCAUGGCUGUCGUCAGCUCGUGUCGUGAGAUGUUGGGUUAAGUCCGUACGAGCGCAACCCUUGUCCUUAGUUACCAGCACGUUAUGGUGGGCACUCUAAGGAGACUGCCGGUGACAAACCGGAGGAAGGUGGGGGAUGACGUCAAGUCAUCAUGGCCCUUACGGCCUGGGCUACACACGUGCUACAAUGGUCGGUACAAAGGGUUGCCAAGCCGCGAGGUGGAGCUAAUCCCAUAAAACCGAUCGUAGUCCGGAUCGCAGUCUGCAACUCGACUGCGUGAAGUCGGAAUCGCUAGUAAUCGUGAAUCAGAAUGUCACGGUGAAUACGUUCCCGGGCCUU
Molecule: ribosomal RNA, 379 nt
Filed under: uncultured Pseudomonas sp.
Lineage: Bacteria; Pseudomonadati; Pseudomonadota; Gammaproteobacteria; Pseudomonadales; Pseudomonadaceae
Description: bacterial SSU rRNA
Rfam family: Bacterial small subunit ribosomal RNA
Source: RNAcentral